UAGGAAGUGACAAAGAAUAUUUACCAAAAUGAAAUCUGAAAAACAUGCUAGUAUAAUACAGUGAGUCUCAAUAUGUUAGGAGCUCAGAGAGCAAUGAUGCAUUUCAAUUCUGUUUUACUUUACCCUGAUAAUGUGUGUUCAAAUAUCAAGCUCUUCCUAAUAACAAAUUACUGUUUCUUACUUACCUCUCCAAUAUAUUUGCUAAUUUUAUACAUCUGUGUUUAAUUUUGCCUUUAUUAAGUUUUGAUUUACAAAUAAACUAUGUGUAUAUAUAUGAUAUUACGUGACACUUUGAUAUAGGUAUGCAUUUUUGAAUGAUUGAAUCAAGUUACAUGGCCUGUCACCACACAUACUUACAGUUUUUGUAGUGCGAACAUUCAAGAUCUAGUCCCAAAGUAAUUAUCAAAUAGAUAAUGUCAAAUUAUUAACUAUAGUCACCAUGCUCAUAUAAUCUUCAGAGUUUAUUCCUCUUGUCUGAGUGAAAUUUUGUACUACUUGACUAACAUCCCUCUAUUUCCAACCCUAAUCUCUUUCUUCUGUCCCCUUCUGUUAUAUAUUUAUUUAUUUUUCUUUGAUUUCACAUAUGUAUGACAACAUGCAGAAUUUUUCUUUCUGUGCCUACAUUGUUUAUUUAGUGUAACUGUUAGUAAAAUGGUGCCAUCUUAUCUGAGGCACCAUAAAUGCCCCAGACGCCAUCUUAGGCUCUGACCCCAGAGGCCACCUUGCACAAUAGGCUUUGAUCUUAAGCCCCAUGAUGCAACUUCAGGUGUCAGCUCCACCUCCACGCUAACAGGAUUCGCUACUCCUACUCCUACUUCCCUGACCCCCACACAGGACUUUCCAGUACAUUGGCUCUCUCUCCUGAUCCCUCUCUCACUUACUCUCUCUCACCCUCUCCUCCCCGGCCUGUUGGGCUUCCCCCACCCAACAACAUUUAAUCUUUCCUUUAACUCCAGUGUUUGGUGUGUGUAAUGGUGGCCUUACAAUAACUUCCUCCCGAUUUAUUCGUGCUAUCACAAAUAAUAGGGCUUCCUUUAUAAUUUGAUUGAAUAUAAUUUCCAUUUUGUAUAUAUAUCAUCAUUAAAUAUUCUUGGACCAUCUUCCACUGCUUUCCCAGGCCAUAGCAGAGAGCCAUUUCAGAAAUGGAGCAGCCGGGAUUCACACUGGCACCCAUAUGGGAUACCAGCACUGCAGGCAGCGGCUUUACCUGCACUGACACAGCGCCGGCCCUGACAAAGUGUUCUUUUAACAUUGGUAAUGGUGCAAUCUAAAGUAUAACUUGGCUUUGACCUUUUUAAUCAAGAUAGCUAUUUGGCAUUUUUUGGUGGGUUUUGUAUGAAUUAAAUUUUUUAUAUUUUUUGGAAGAAAUUGGAAUUCUGAUGGAGACUGUGGGGAGCAACUCGGACUAGACUAAGUUACUGGAAUUAAGACUUAUUCUAUGCAUCUGCUUUCCCACAAUAUGGUGCUGAGAGGGGAAACAGCUUCUACACAGCUGCCUCCAGUUCAACCAAUAAACUGUAGGACUUGCUCCUGAUUGGAGGAGAGCAGCGUACUCGGCGUGUGGGUAGCAGAGUUGGGACUGGUGGAAGAGGACUAUAAAGGAGGAGAGAGACAACAUGCACCAGGAACAUCUGAAGGAACACCUGUGCAGCCCCCGAGAGAGCCGGCCGGCGGUGUGCCGCUCCCCCGCGGAAGUGGGGAAUGUGGCAGGGGGAACCGCCCUUCCACGGAGGUGGAAGGGAUGGUAGCCAACCCGGGAAGAACCAGCAGCAAACCCGGGGAGGGCCGAGCAGACAAAAGAACAGCGCAGGGUCCUGUGUCGUUCCUCCAUGAAGAUGGGGAGCGACAGACAAGCACUUUAGUAGCUCAUAUAUUUUGAUAAUAUUAACAUCUUCAAUCUAUGAACAUGGGGUAUCUUCCCAUUUAUUUGUGUCUAGUUAGAUUUCUUUCAUCAAUGUGUACUAGUGCUCAAUGUAACUUUUUAUUGCCUUGGUUAAAUUUAUUCCUAAGCAUUUUAUACUAUAUUUUAAAUUAAUCUAUCAGUUAAAAUGUCAGUUAAUGCACUCACAGCUCAUGGUGGACCUGAGAGGCAGCAGAGACAGCUGAAAUUAUCAAGUUUCUGCCACCCAUAUGGGAAACCUUGGUGAGUUCUGGGUGUUCCGGCUUUGACACCAACCAGUGGUCUUGGUGGACACCUGGGGAGCAAACCAGGAAAUGGUAGUGCAAUGAGCAUUCUUUUAAAGAUUUUAGUUAUUUGAAAGGCAGAGUUACAGAGAGAGCAGAGGUUGAGGGAGAGAAAGAGAGAAGUCUUCCAUCCACUGGUUCACUCCCCAGAUGGCCUCAUCUGCUGGAGCUGCACUGAUUCGAAGCCAGGAGCCAGAAGCUUCUUCCAGGUCUCUCACGUGGGUGCAGGGGCCCAAGGACUUGGGUCAUUUUCCAUAGCUUUCCCAGGCCAUAGCAGAGAGCUGGAUUUGAAGUGGAUCAGCCAGGACUCAAAUCUGAACCCAUGUGGGAUGCUGGCACUGUAGGCAGCAACUUUACCAACUAUACCACAGCAACAGCCACAGACUGUAUUUUGAUUAAAAAAAUUUUAUUAUAUGACAUUUAAAAGUUAAUAUCAAUAAAUCUGAACCUUGAUUUUACAAUUUAUAAUGUUGGCUUUUCCAUCCAACCCUCCACUUUAUAUCACAUGAUUUGGACAAAGUAAUGGUCCCAGAAAGUGUCCGUUUCCUAAAGCCAGGAACCCAUGACUGUUACCUUAUUUGACAAAAUGAACUGUGAGAUGUGGACCUUGAGAUAGGAGAUUGCUCUAGAUUUUUCAAGUGGGCCCACUGCCAUCAAAAUUUAUUCUGGCAGAGAGCCUUUCCCAGAUCUGUCCUUAGAAAGACAUAUCACAGUGUCAUAUAGUCAGAGCACUGCUGUAGUAUUGGCUUUGGAGAAGGAAGAAGUGGUCCAUGAAUCAAGGAGUGCAGUCAGCCUCUAGAAGAGUAAAGAGGCUUACCUUGAGCCUAGAGAAAGGAACACAGCCAUGCUAAGUCCUUUAUUUUAGUCAUUGUGACCUGUGCAGACUUCUGACUCUAAGAACUCUAGGAUAAUAAAUAUAUGUUGUUUUAAGACACUAACUUUGUGGCAAUACUUUACAACAGCACUAAAAUUUAAUGCAACCACUACAGCCCUGCUUUUAUCAUUCUUCUGUUCUUGUAAACACUAAAUUCUGCAUUUUCUCUUUUUAUGAAUCACAUUGCAUUUAGAAAAGGGAGCACAUAUUCCUUUGUUCAGUACCUGUUGCCCACACAUGUCUGUCAGUGAGGCCAAGGGCCUCAGCUGUUGCACUGUGGUCUCCUGGGACUCAAGUGGUCACUCCUCUUUCCAAAUAGUCACCUUGCCUCCAUGCAGCAUCCCCCUCUGCUGCCAUGGAGGUGUUUCUUAUGAAGAAUAAAUUUGUCUUUAGUGCCCUGUCGUGUCUAAGUUUCCAUAAUAUUGAACAAUGCUAGAGCUUGAUAUUAGGGACUUUUAUUUAAGGUUUUAUAAAAGGUAAAGGAAGCAGUGUCUAUUAAAAAGGCACCUUAAUCAACAGUGUUACAUAUCUCUAUUCCUGAGACCCCUGCACCUGUUCUAUAACAUUGAAUGUAGUACUAAAUAAAUGUUUUAAGCCUUCGGCUUUUUAUAUAUAUUGAGUCAUCCAACCAAAAGCCAUUUGGUUCUCUUUCCAUCAACUCCACUCUAGUUUUCAUGAUUCAUAAAGGAGUAGUUAUUGGAUUAAUAUUCUAUUCUGGAAAAUUAGUAAUUAAAUAAACUAUAGAAGUUAUACAAUUGUGCUUGUAUCAAUCUAUUCUGAAUGUGUUAAGUUUUAUGCAAUAUGUGUAUAAGUACUAUAAAAUUUUGUAAAUAUAUAAAUAAUAUAUACAUACUUCAGUUUUUCAGAACAUGUCCCUAAAUUUUGAGUUCAAAAUUCUAGUUACGAAUAUAAUAGCAGAACCUGUAGGAAAGUUUUGAAAAUUAGGUGAGAAAGUGCCUGGUGCUUUUGAAUACUCUCAUUUCUUUCCCCCUCCUAAUUACAUUUAUUUCACAUAUUCCCUCUUUACCUUUAGAACUAGAGAAUAUACCAUUUGCUAAUUUCUUUUGCUUCUGUAUUGUAGUAAUGGUGAUGUGUGUGGUGAUCCGUGAGCAAUGACAGAUUUUUUAAAAUUCAAGAAUUACAUCCUUGUGUUUUUUUUCUCUUCCCCAAGGGAUAUAAGGCUGUGGUUUCUUCAAACAAGCCUUAGUCACUUCCACUGCACAGGAAAGCACUGUACUUCAAAAGUUCUUGAAUGACAGUUUUCAACAUGAAUCUGUGCAGCUGGAAGCAGAAAGCAAUAAAAGAAGUCUGUUGUCUUGUGGAUUGUUUUCUUUCUCUCAUUUUUUUGUAUAACACUCCUGGAAUUUACUGAAAGUAAAUGAAAUCAGCAUAUGAAAGCAUUAUCUGUACUCCAAUAACUAACAUAUGGAAUCAACCCAGAUGUCCAUCAACUGAUGACCAGAUAAAAAAAUGAUGAUCUUGAAAGACAGAAGAGGCAGCACAUUUAACUCUUCUCCAUCUCUUCUACCAAAUCAACCACUGGUAAGAUAUUGGAACAUGAAACCAGAAGUGAAUUUUCAGGAAGAGCUCAAUCAACUCUCCUGAUUAGAUGAGGCCAAACAAGAAUACUUCUCUUACAGUCAACCAAUUUGGAAGUUUAAUUGUUUUAUUAUUGUUGUGGAACUGAAAGAAAAACCGGCAAAUUCAGGAUUCUAGUUAAGAGUACAAGGCUCUUCCUUCAGCAACUGAUACAUCGAGCACACUAAAAGUUAGUAAGAAUGUGGUUGACCCAAAAGACACUGUCACAGAACUUGAUGCCAUUGAGUAUCUACAACAGAAUACACAUUUGCCAACACAGAGAGUUCUACAACAUAAAGGAUAAACAUUUAUGCAAGUUACCAUAAAAAAAGUGGCAGAAUUUUUACAAAUUGUAUCUCCCUGCUUAUUCAACUGUAUUUAAAGAGGCACACAAGAAUUUGCACAGAGCUUAUCUUAACAAAUUUGCAACAAAAAUCAAGACAUAAAAGGAAAUACGGUGAUGUUCUUAGCUAAAAUUGAGAUUCUUUCACUACGAAUGGGACCAUGAACAACGAAAGAUUAAUAGCCAUCUCUGAAGGCAUAUGCAAUAAAUCAUAGAAUUAAAUCUUUAAGCAAUAUGAUAAGCCCAUGGAAUAUUAACAGGCAAAAGGAGAAAGAUUUGAAAGUUUCAAUGAAGGAAUAAGAUAUGAUUUGUUAGUGGAUACUUUGUGAUACUAGCAGACUAAUUAAUCUAAAAAAGACUGAAUUUUUAAAUAAUUACACACAAUAUGAUUACAACAUUCCAUUUUGGAGUAUUUACUUUCUCUACAGAUGUAUGAUUAGAAAACAGAAAUUUACAUUUUUAUUAACAAGACUCAGUCUAGAAGUAUGACAGAUGUAAGUAUAAAGAAAAACAAGUAAUAAAUAAAACAGAAACAGUACAGUUAUA
Oryctolagus cuniculus (rabbit) is the source of this 5525-nucleotide non-coding RNA. The record is from RefSeq and is a predicted model, not a curated record. NCBI's taxonomy places the organism in Eukaryota, Metazoa, Chordata, Mammalia, Lagomorpha, Leporidae.